GAUGAACGCUGGCGGCGUGCCUAAUACAUGCAAAUCGAGCGAACGGACGAGAAGCUUGCUUUUCUGAUGUUAGCGGCGGACGGGUGAGUAACACGUGGAUAACCUACCUAUAAGACUGGGAUAACUCGGGAAACCGGAGCUAAUACCGGAUAAUAUUUUGAACCGCAUGGUUCAAAAGUGAAAGACGGUCUUGCUGUCACUUAUAGAUGGAUCCGCGCUGCAUUAGCUAGUUGGUAAGGUAACGGCUUACCAAGGCAACGAUGCAUAGCCGACCUGAGAGGGUGAUCGGCCACACUGGAACUGAGACACGGUCCAGACUCCUACGGGAGGCAGCAGUAGGGAAUCUUCCGCAAUGGGCGAAAGCCUGACGGAGCAACGCCGCGUGAGUGAUGAAGGUCUUCGGAUCGUAAAACUCUGUUAUUAGGGAAGAACAUAUGUGUAAGUAACUGUGCACAUCUUGACGGUACCUAAUCAGGAAGCCACGGCUAACUACGUG
RNAcentral lists this ribosomal RNA (496 nucleotides) under uncultured bacterium. RNAcentral's name for it is "partial 16S ribosomal RNA". It matches the Rfam family "Bacterial small subunit ribosomal RNA", at positions 28 to 507 of the family's 1533-position model. The record is from RNAcentral.